UACUGUUAAUGAUGAAAUUGUGAAAAAGACAAUGGGAAUCUCUCUGAAAAGCAGUGAAGAUACAAUUUUACUGAGACAGUA
This is a small nucleolar RNA of Laticauda laticaudata (blue-ringed sea krait), 81 nucleotides long. Its record names the gene SNORD79. It matches the Rfam family "Small nucleolar RNA SNORD79". Rfam says of the family: snoRNA U79 or Z22 is found in intron 7 of the gas5 gene in humans and is also present in mice. U79 is a member of the C/D class of snoRNA which contain C (UGAUGA) and D (CUGA) box motifs. The record is from Ensembl. NCBI's taxonomy places the organism in Eukaryota, Metazoa, Chordata, Lepidosauria, Squamata, Elapidae.